Non-coding RNA from Mycena vitilis, 86 nucleotides. The record is from the annotation of a GenBank genome assembly. Lineage: Eukaryota; Fungi; Basidiomycota; Agaricomycetes; Agaricales; Mycenaceae.
GGUCGCUUAGCUCAGUGGAUAGACUUUCGGGUCAGAGCAUUCCAAGCGUAAUGGGAAGGUCCCGGGUUCGAGUCCCGGAGCAGCCA